GUGAUGAGGUGACCCGUUUACGACAGAUGACGUGCUUUCCCCUGGCUGA
RNAcentral lists this small nucleolar RNA (49 nucleotides) under Pyrobaculum islandicum DSM 4184. Its description in RNAcentral is "PISsR130". Lineage: Archaea; Thermoproteati; Thermoproteota; Thermoprotei; Thermoproteales; Thermoproteaceae. The record is from RNAcentral.